UUCGAAAGAAGGGGGUGCCCGCAAGGGAGCGCGGAGACAGGUGGUGCAUGGCUGUCGUCAGCUCGUGUCGUGAGAUGUUGGGUUAAGUCCCGCAACGAGCGCAACCCUCACCUCUUGUUGCCACCAGGUCAUGCUGGGCACUCUAGAGGAACUGCCCCGGUCAACGGGGAGGAAGGCGGGGAUGACGUCAAGUCAUCAUGCCCCUUACGUCCUGGGCUACACACGUGCUACAAUGGCCGGUACAAAGGGAUGCCACACCGUGAGGUAGAGCUAAACCCAAAAAGCCGGUCUAAGUUCAGAUUGGAGUCUGCAACUCGACUCCAUGAAGGAGGAAUCGCUAGUAAUCGCGUAUCAGCACGACGCGGUGAAUACGUUCCCGGGCCUUGUACACACCGCCCGUCACACCACGAAAGCCCG
RNAcentral lists this ribosomal RNA (417 nucleotides) under uncultured bacterium. Its description in RNAcentral is "bacterial SSU rRNA". It matches the Rfam family "Bacterial small subunit ribosomal RNA", at positions 1000 to 1414 of the family's 1533-position model. The record is from RNAcentral.